UUUUUUUUUUUUUCCCCCUUCAAAAUCACUCGUAUUUUAAGCGUGCAAUGCACAUGAUAGGACAAGUAAUUAGCUGCGUUCUAUAUUUUUAUUUUUCUUGGCUCAAAAGAAAUAAAUAUAGACCGGGAUCCUUUUCCUUUGUCCACUUCCUAAUUAUGCUGAAAGUAGAAUUUAGUUACAAUCUUAAUUGAUCUGGAUUCUUAGAUUUAUGAUCUAUUUGAUCCAUCC
RNAcentral lists this long non-coding RNA (228 nucleotides) under Elaeis guineensis (African oil palm). Its description in RNAcentral is "long non-coding RNA (EGUI_LNC078977)". Lineage: Eukaryota; Viridiplantae; Streptophyta; Magnoliopsida; Arecales; Arecaceae. The record is from RNAcentral.